This 253-nucleotide ribosomal RNA is filed under the name uncultured bacterium. RNAcentral's name for it is "partial 16S ribosomal RNA". It matches the Rfam family "Bacterial small subunit ribosomal RNA", at positions 524 to 776 of the family's 1533-position model. The record is from RNAcentral.
UACGCAGGGUGCAAACGUUGCUCGGAAUUAUUGGGCGUAAAGCGCACGUAGGCGGCUUGGCAAGUCGGAUGUGAAAGCCCUCGGCUCAACCAAGGAAGUGCAUCCGAAACUGCUGAGCUUGAGUACUUAAGAGGAUCGCGGAAUUCCCGGUGUAGAGGUGAAAUUCGUAGAUAUCGGGAGGAACACCAGUGGCGAAGGCGACACGCUGGGCCAUACCUGACGCUAAAGCGCGACAGCAUGGGGAGCAAACGGG